GGAGUAGUAGUCCUUUCAAAGCCCUACCCCCUGCUUCAUGGAGCAAAGGCUCGCCCACCAGGACCACAAUUCCCACACACCUCUGCGACGGGGGCUUCUGGAUCGCGCCCGUUUCCGCGCUCUGCUGCUUUCCAUUAGGCGGAAGGGAGCUGUCAAUCACCUGGGCGGCGGGAGCUGAUUGGACGCGCCGCUCCCGGAGCUGGGGACUGUCAUGGCGGCUGGAGGGGGAGUGGUGGCUGCCAUUUUAUGAGGGGAGCUUGCACGCCGCGCCGCUGCGGCUUGUCUGCGAGGUGUGGGGACGCGGGGGACUGUGGCCUCCUCCUCGUGCCAUGGGGCCUUCCCCUGCCGCGGGCUCGUUCCCGCCGCUGAGGCAGCCCAUGCAGGAGGAGCGGACGCGCGGGCAGUGCCGGCCAGAGUGCGCAUCUGCCCCAGGGCCGCGGGUUCCCCCUCCCUCCCCUCGCUCGGGCCGCCUGGCAGCAGCGGGGCGCUGGGGUCGGUACCCCCGUAGUGGCACGUGAUUAAUUCGGAGUAGCUGUACAGCCGGGCGGGUUGAUUCGGAUGCGAGCGCCUUGCCCCUCCCGCGGGGCAGUGCGUUGUCCCGCGUGAAAGACCCGCGAAGUACCCGCCCGAGCGCUUUGCUUUGCCCCGGGUCAGCCCCGGCUGCCUCCUCUGCCUCGUGUGAACGGCUGUCCCGCCCCCCGCUUUGAUGGGGCUCAUAUCUCGGACUAAUCCGACUGGGGGUUUGAACCAAAUCGUCUGUUUUUAGCCCGUGCCUGGGAGCAAAGAGGAGCCGUUCGGGCGCAGUGCUCAGUGACACUGAAUAGAGGAGAUGACACGUUUCGUUGCUGCAGAGGACGCUAACAGGACAGUGAAAAAUAUUUAAACAGUUCCCUUCUCAGCAAGUGGAAACAACUCACAAGUGAAGCAUCUUUGAACAUUCAACGUCAAGAGAUCCACUUCUGUACAAAGUAUAUACAAACCAGUUUCUAAAACACUUGUAACCAGCUGCUGUACAGAUGAAGUUGGUCAAUCAUAGCCUGGUUUUUAGCAGGAUCAGCCAGACUGGCAGUAAGUUACACCUCUCCAGGAGGCUCCAAAAGUCUCAUAAUAAAGGAGAAUUUUGAUCUGCCAAGUCUCACAAGGCAGAUCCUUUACUACUCUUGUACAACCAUUAGAUAUUUAGAUGACACUGGUUGCAGUGCUAGUAUUAUGCCAUUGACAUGCAGCUUUUCCUCCUUAGCAGUCUCCUUGAUCUCUGUGUACUGAAGAUUUUGGAGCCUUUUUAAAGGACGGGUGGCUGAAGCCCAAGAAAGACUGAUGUGAUGCUUGUUUGAGGGAGAAAGUCCACAGAGUCUGGCAAGGGCCAUUCUAGGGAGGUUCUUGCUCUGGACUAAAGACAUCACAAUGUUUUAUCAACUAAAUUUAAGUACUGCUCUUUACAAAGCAACUUUCAUUUUUGGCUACCAAGAUUAUGUGAGACUAGGCAGAAUUAUCUGGUCAGAUGUUUGUCACCUCCAACCUUAACUACCAUGUACUCUGUGUCCAGAAUCAUUUCUUGAAGAAGCUGUAGUUGAUGCAUAGUGUGACAGGUUGUCUCCUUAGCAGGAUGAGUUGGAGAGAGCAUGUUAAAUCAGCAUUCUGCAACUUGGAUUGUUUAUUGUCAUACCUGUUGCAGAUUUCAUAAGUUCUUUAAUAUGAUAGGCUUGCCCUGUCAGUGGAACUGCCUCCAUUUUUGUAACCUGCCUCAUCUGCUAGGGUUGCCCAACACGCUGCAGAUUAUACCUGGAGUCCGUUAAACAGAGGGAAGCUGACAGAAGAGCUUUCUUAGUGGAAAGCUCUGGUGCCUCCACAGCAUCUAAAAAGAAAUCAUAGCCUCAUAUCCUACUACAAGACUCUUUUCCACUAAAGUACUCUCCAGAGACCAAUGGCAGCAUAAUCCAAAGUAGAAAUAACAAAUUAAAUCAAAAUAGGUUGGGAAGCUGAUUCUCUACCGUGAAGGAAGCUCUGUGCCUGUUUACAUUACUCUUGUUUUAAUGUGAAUAAUUUCUCUGCCAGUUACCUUGGGUUUGCCAACACAUUUGCAAUUGACUUCAUGUUGUUUUCCAGGACUACCACCAAAUUAUAUAAAUGGCAAAUAUUAUAUUAGUGGAGGGAGACUUAUCUACAUAGCUGAUCUGGUUUAAGUUGAGAAAAUGCACUUCAGUGAGGAUAUUUACUGCUGAUGCAUCUAACAAUUUUUCUUCAUUUUUCACAUUAAUUGGGUAUUAGAAAAUUCCUAACUCAUGUUGGCAGAUUGCUACAUGCCUAAUGCUAAAAUCACUGUGUAAGAGUACAUACUUAUGUUCUUGUUGCAUGAUCUUGCAUGUUUAAUAAUGUAAGAUUUAAAAUAAAUAAAUAUUGUAUUUUG
Molecule: long non-coding RNA, 2407 nt
Organism: Alligator mississippiensis (American alligator)
Lineage: Eukaryota; Metazoa; Chordata; Crocodylia; Alligatoridae
Exons: 2
Source: RefSeq, a predicted model, not a curated record